AGGUCCAUAGCUCAGUGGUAGAGCAAUUGACUGCAGAACAAUAGGUCACAGGUUCGAACCCGGUUGGGCCCU
This 72-nucleotide transfer RNA is filed under the name Arabidopsis thaliana x Arabidopsis arenosa. Its description in RNAcentral is "tRNA-Cys". It matches the Rfam family "tRNA". Rfam says of the family: Transfer RNA (tRNA) molecules are approximately 80 nucleotides in length. Lineage: Eukaryota; Viridiplantae; Streptophyta; Magnoliopsida; Brassicales; Brassicaceae. The record is from RNAcentral.